Sarcophilus harrisii (Tasmanian devil) is the source of this 520-nucleotide long non-coding RNA. RefSeq lists it as uncharacterized. The record is from RefSeq and is a predicted model, not a curated record. The transcript has 5 exons. NCBI's taxonomy places the organism in Eukaryota, Metazoa, Chordata, Mammalia, Dasyuromorphia, Dasyuridae.
AUUCAGUUGGAUAUCAUUAACCGAGGACCGGUGAGAUCCUCGAAUUAAUCCAGAGUUGGAAGCAGACACCAAGGGGGUACUGACGUCUCGCAAAGAGGGAUUCACAACCCUCUCUUCCCAGGAAAUCACCAAAGAUCAAGUGUGUGCUGGAGGCCUGAGGCUGGAGCCCAUAGAAUGGAAGAGAUCUCCAGGGAGCCUAAGAGGUUAGUGCUUACUGUGUCUAGCUGCCCCCUAAAGCACAAGUAUGACAGAGAGUCCUGAGUGAAACGUUGCAGAGGAUUCAAGGACUUCUGGAAAUGAGAGCCCGCUGACUACAGCCCACUUUACACCGCCCAUGGUCUCCGCGCCUGCCUCCCACUCUUACAUAGAUGGGUUCUGGAAUUGAACAUCGAAAGCACGGUGUGGAGACCUCACAGGUUCGAUUCUGGAAUGGACUCAGAGAACUUACCCCUAGCCAGGAUCCAGCCUCCCACGGAAGGCUGAGGGGGAGGCCCAGAGUCAGUGUCUUCCUUGGCGGGUG